UGCUGCACGGUAAACACUGGGAAGAAAGCGGGCAGAAUGAGACAUUCGGUGUGGCAGUGGUGUCAUGCAGAAACUGUGGAAGACAGUGAAAGAAUCCUGUCCCCAACACCCCAUGACCUCCUCUCCCUGGCACUCAGAUCUGGGGGCAGGGGACCAGACCAGGGCUAUAAAUACAACAGGGGGAGGUGCUGGGGGCUCAGGUUACUAGGCCCCAGCUGUCCCCACCAGAGGGACUUGGCUGGAGACAGGUGUCAAUGCCUUCUUGGAGGCCCAGUGUCACCCACCCCACACUUGUCAGUAUAUCCACACUCUUUGGGUUUUUGUCCUUUAUGAGACAAGCCCCUCCCCCCAUUAUAGUCAUUGUUCUGAGGGUCCCUUCUUCUCCUCAGGGUUCUACCCUUCUCUCCUACUGUGUCUUCCCUAAUCUCUCUCUACUGGUCUCUCUCUCUCUCUCUCCCCCUUUCUCUGUGUGUGUGUCUGUGUGUGUGUGUGUUGUGGGUGAUUCGUGUGUGCCUGUCUUUCUGUCUGCCUCUCUCUUUGUGUGUAUUGUGUGUGUGUAUGAGUCUCUGUCUCUCUGUCUCUUUCUCUCUGUGUGUGUCUCUCUCUCUGUGUGUCUCUCUCUCUGCCUCUCGGUGUAUGUUGUGUGUGUGCGAGUGUCUCUGUCUCUUUCUCUCUCUGCGUGUGUGUCUCUGUCUCCGUGUGUGAUUCUGUUUUUCUGUCUCUUCUCUCUGAUUCUGGGACUCUGUCGCUCUAUCACUUUGCAUUUCUAGCUGUCUCUCUCUCUGUCCUCUCUCUCUCUCUCUCUCUCUCUCUCUCUCUCUCUCUCUCUCUCUCUCUCUCUCUCUCUCUCUCUCUCUCUCUCUCGGUCUCUGCCCUCUUUUUUCUUUCUCUGGGCUGGGUCCCUCUCUUAGUUUCUGUCUCUGCCUCUUUUUGGGUCUUUCUCUCAGUCUCCGCCUCUCAGAAUCUAUGUUUGUCCCAUGGCUGAUAUCUAUCGUGUGCCCUACUCUGCUUCCUUCGUUUCUCUGCCUUCCAAGUCUGGGUCUUUCGUGUCCCCCAAGCCGACCCGAUCCGUGGUUUGGCAGCAGAGUCUGUCCCUGCUCGCAGCCGCCCUCUCCCCGCCUCCCGUGACGUGUCCCGGGACUCCCCGCCCCGGGCUGGGCUGCGAAGUUGCGGAUCCGGUUCGGUCGGGCGGGUCGGCGGCUGAGAGAAAUACACGGAGCCCCAGGGGCUGCGACGGCAGCAUGGUGGGGCAGGAGAAAGAGCAGAGUUGGAUCCCUAAGAUCUUCAGGAAGAAGGUGUGCACGACGUUCAUAGUGGACCUCCACGAUGAUGCGGGAGGGACCUUGUGCCAGUGUGGGCAACCUCGGGAUGCCCACCCUUCUGUGGCUGUGGAGGAUGCCUUUGGGGCAGCCGUAGUUACCGAGUGGAACAGUGAUGAGCACACCACGGAGAAGCCCACAGAUGCCUACGGGGACCUGGACUUCACAUACUCUGGCCGAAAGUCCAGCAACUUCCUCCGGCUGUCUGAUCGCACGGAUCCGGCCACUGUGUACAGUCUCGUCACCCGCUCUUGGGGCUUUCGUGCUCCAAACUUGGUGGUGUCAGUGCUGGGGGGGUCGGAGGGCCCCGUGCUACAGACCUGGCUGCAGGACCUUCUGCGUCGUGGGCUGGUGCGAGCAGCCCAGAGCACAGGGGCCUGGAUCGUCACUGGGGGACUGCACACAGGCAUUGGUCGGCAUGUGGGUGUGGCUGUGAGGGACCACCAGACGGCCAGCACCGGGGGCAGCAAGGUGGUGGCCAUGGGUGUGGCCCCCUGGGGAGUGGUCCGGAACAGAGACAUGCUGAUCAACCCCAAGGGCUCAUUCCCUGCAAGAUACCGGUGGCGUGGUGACCCUGAGGACGGAGUUGAGUUCCCCCUGGACUAUAACUAUUCUGCUUUCUUCUUGGUGGAUGAUGGUACCUAUGGCCGCAUGGGUGGUGAGAACCGCUUCCGCCUUCGGUUUGAGUCCUAUGUGGCUCAGCAGAAGACCGGAGUGGGAGGGACUGGAAUUGACAUCCCUGUACUCCUUCUUCUCAUCGAAGGCGAUGAGAAGAUGUUAAAGCGGAUAGAGGAUGCCACCCAGGCUCAGCUCCCCUGCCUCUUGGUGGCUGGCUCUGGGGGUGCUGCAGACUGCCUGGUGGAGACCCUGGAAGAUACUCUGGCCCCAGGGAGUGGGGGACUCAGGCGAGGUGAAGCCCGGGAUCGAAUUAGACGUUACUUCCCUAAAGGAGACCCCGAGGUCCUGCAGGCCCAGGUAGAGAGGAUCAUGACCCGAAAGGAGCUGCUGACAGUCUAUUCAUCAGAGGACGGCUCCGAGGAGUUUGAGACUAUCGUUUUGAGGGCUCUUGUGAAAGCCUGUGGGAGCUCCGAGGCCUCGGCUUACCUGGAUGAACUGCGUUUGGCUGUGGCUUGGAACCGCGUGGACAUCGCCCAAAGUGAACUUUUCCGUGGGGACAUCCAGUGGCGGUCCUUCCACCUGGAGGCCUCUCUCAUGGACGCUCUGCUGAAUGACCGGCCUGAGUUUGUGCGCUUGCUCAUCUCCCAUGGCCUUAGUCUGGGACACUUCCUGACCCCCGUGCGCCUGGCCCAGCUGUACAGCGCAGUGUCCCCCAACUCGCUGAUCCGCAAUCUUCUGGACCAGGCGUCCCACGCUAGUAGCAGCAAAUCUCCACCUGCAAAUGGAGCUGCAGAGCUCCGGCCUCCUAAUGUGGGGCAAGUUCUGAGGACUCUGUUGGGAGAAACGUGUGCACCGCGGUACCCCGCCAGGAACACCCGACACUCCCUGCUGGGCCAGGACCACAGAGAGAAUGACUCUCUGCUCAUGGACUGGGCCAACAUGCAACAGGAUGCAAGCUUUGAACAAGCCCCCUGGAGUGACCUGCUUAUCUGGGCUCUGUUGUUGAACCGAGCCCAGAUGGCCAUUUAUUUCUGGGAGAAGGGCUCCAACUCAGUGGCCUCUGCUCUCGGGGCUUGUCUCUUACUCCGAGUGAUGGCUCGCCUUGAGUGGGAGGCUGAGGAAGCUGCACGGCGGAAGGACCUUGCUGCCAAGUUUGAAAGCAUGAGCGUGGACCUCUUUGGAGAGUGUUACCACAACAGUGAAUAUCGAGCAGCCCGCCUUCUUCUGCGUCGCUGUCCCCUCUGGGGAGAGGCCACCUGUCUCCAGCUUGCCAUGCAGGCUGACGCCCGUGCGUUCUUUGCCCAGGAUGGAGUACAGUCUCUGCUGACACAGAAGUGGUGGGGGGAGAUGGACAGCACGAACCCUAUCUGGGCCCUGCUUCUCACCUUCUUCUGCCCGCCUCUCAUCUACACCAACCUCAUCCUCUUCAGGAAGUCAGAGGAGGAGCCCACACAGAAGGAUCUUGACUUCGAUAUGGACAGCAGCAUGAAUGGAGCAGGUCCUCUUGGGCCUGCGGAGCCCUCAGCAAAGGUGGCCCUUGAGAGGCGGCGGCGGCGGCGGCCAGGACAUACCCUCUGCUGUGGCGGGUGCUCCAAGCGCUGGUCGUACUUUUGGGGCGCCCCAGUGACCGCCUUCCUGGGUAACGUGGUCAGUUACCUGCUGUUCCUGCUGCUGUUUGCACACGUGUUGCUGGUGGAUUUCCAGCCUACAAAGCCGGGCGUCUUCGAGCUGCUGCUGUACUUCUGGGCCUUCACGCUGCUAUGCGAGGAGCUGCGCCAGGGCCUGGGCGGUGGCUGGGGUACCCUGGCCAACGGGGGACCUGGUCCUGGCAAAGCUCCCCUGCGCCAUCGUCUGCACCUCUACCUCUUGGAUACUUGGAACCAGUGCGACUUGCUGGCACUCACCUGCUUCCUGCUGGGCGUUGGCUGCAGGCUGACUCCUGGCCUGUUUGACUUGGGACGCACAGUCCUCUGUCUUGACUUCAUGAUCUUCACACUGCGCCUGCUGCACAUCUUCACGGUGAACAAGCAGCUGGGGCCCAAGAUUGUCAUCGUGAGCAAGAUGAUGAAGGAUGUAUUCUUUUUCCUCUUCUUCCUCUGCGUGUGGCUUGUAGCUUAUGGGGUGGCCACAGAGGGGAUCCUGAGGCCCCAGGACCGCAGUCUACCGAGCAUCCUGCGCAGGGUCUUCUACCGUCCGUAUCUGCAGAUCUUCGGACAAAUUCCCCAGGAGGAAAUGGAUGUGGCCCUCAUGAAUCCCAGUAACUGCUCUGCCGAGCGGGGCUCCUGGGCUCACCCGGAGGGGCCGGUCGCAGGCUCCUGUGUGUCCCAGUAUGCCAACUGGCUGGUGGUGUUGCUCCUCAUCGUCUUCUUGCUGGUGGCCAAUAUCCUGCUGCUCAAUCUGCUCAUCGCCAUGUUCAGCUACACCUUCAACAAAGUGCAUGGCAACAGCGACCUCUACUGGAAGGCGCAGCGCUACAGCCUCAUCCGGGAAUUCCAUUCGCGGCCUGCCCUGGCCCCACCCCUCAUCAUCAUCUCUCACCUGCGUCUCCUCUUCAAGUGGCUGCGCAGGUGUCAUAGGACUAACUUGCCCGCCUCCCCAGUCUUCGAGCACUUCCGUGUCUGUCUCUCUAAGGAAGCAGAGAGGACGCUGCUGACUUGGGAGUCUGUGCACAAAGAGAACUUCCUAUUGGCACAAGCUCGUGACAAGCGAGACAGCGACUCGGAGCGUCUGAAACGCACGUCCCAGAAGGUGGACACUGCACUGAAGCAGCUGGGACAGAUCAGAGAGUAUGACCGGCGUCUGAGGGGGCUGGAGAGAGAGGUCCAACACUGUUCUCGAGUCCUGACUUGGAUGGCUGAGGCCCUUAGCCACUCUGCCUUACUGCCUCCAGGGGGGCCACCCCCUCCAAGCCCCACUGGGUCCAAAGGUUACAGUCCGUCAGUGAGGGAAGCAGGGCGAGAACUUGGACGUUCUCACCUAUAACCAGAAAGCUCGCAGCUAAAGAAAUGCACCAGAAGCCACAGAACAACGCUGUCCACUGGACCACAGCGCCUUCCACUCAGCCAGCUUCAGCAUCCAGUUCGAGACUCCUCACCCGAGGAGAUAGCAUUACUGAGUGUCCCUGGUGGACAUCUAGGUGUUUGCAUCCUGAGAGGGUUCAUUCCGAGAGCUGCGCCCAGUCUGCCUCAAGCUACACAACUGGUGGCCUUGUCCUCACCGUAGACCCCAUGUUCAGGGGUUGCUGUCUCGCCAGAGGGACUGCCUUCCAGGAGCAGCCUGACCUUGGGCAGAUCAAGCUCUGAGCUGGCAAUGUUGGCCCCUUUGUGGGCCCAGCCACAAGCAGAGGAGGCCAGAAGGUCCUGGGGUGCAGGAACCACAGACCCUAUGCACAGCUUCCCCACAAUGGGGAAAUAAAGCCAUUUGAUGAGAAUUACA
RNA transcript from Rattus norvegicus (Norway rat), 5372 nucleotides. It is a transcript of the gene named transient receptor potential cation channel, subfamily M, member 4, with no coding region annotated. Lineage: Eukaryota; Metazoa; Chordata; Mammalia; Rodentia; Muridae. The record is from RefSeq and is marked provisional.